CCCGCACAAGCGGUGGAGCAUGUGGUUUAAUUCGAUGCAACGCGAAGAACCUUACCUGGUCUUGACAUCCACGGAAGUUUCAGAGAUGAGAAUGUGCCUUCGGGAACCGUGAGACAGGUGCUGCAUGGCUGUCGUCAGCUCGUGUUGUGAAAUGUUGGGUUAAGUCCCGCAACGAGCGCAACCCUUGCCAUUAGUUGCUACGAAAGGGCACUCUAAUGGGACUGCCGGUGACAAACCGGAGGAAGGUGGGGAUGACGUCAAGUCCUCAUGGCCCUUAUAGGUGGGGCUACACACGUCAUACAAUGGCCGGUACAGAGGGUAGCCAACCCGCGAGGGGGAGCCAAUCCCACAAAGCCGGUCGUAGUCCGGAUCGCAGUCUGCAACUCGACUGCGUGAAGUCGGAAUCGCUAGUAAUCGCGGAUCAGCAUGUCGCGGUGAAUACGUUCCCGGGUCUU
This 455-nucleotide ribosomal RNA is filed under the name uncultured Sinobacteraceae bacterium. RNAcentral's name for it is "bacterial SSU rRNA". It matches the Rfam family "Bacterial small subunit ribosomal RNA", at positions 920 to 1382 of the family's 1533-position model. The record is from RNAcentral. Lineage: Bacteria; Pseudomonadati; Pseudomonadota; Gammaproteobacteria; Nevskiales; Nevskiaceae.